GCAGUUUCAUUUUUCCCCCACCAGAUUCAGCAAUACCAUCUGCAGAUGAGAUCCUUUCCGCAGACCUUCAUGUAUGGCGUUGACAAACUGACCUCACAAAGACAAUAGCCUUUGGCCGGGUGAUGCUCCUGAGACGGCUGAAGGAGGAAGAGGUAAUUGUCCUAAAGGAAGUCCAGCAGCACUGGGAAAGCCUAAAGAGGGAAUCGGAGAAUGUGCAAGACCUUGCUUCACAUGUGGCACCUGACCUAAGCAGGCAAACAAACUCAACAUGUGUAAAUAUUUGUAUGAACACGACAAGAUUCAACAACUGAGACAUAAACUGAACAGGUUCCACAGACAUGUGAGUAACAGAAAUGGAAUAAUGUGUCCCUGAACAAGGGGGGUAAGUUAUUAGUCACCAGCUGCAUGAAGUACUGAAGUACUGCAGUGCAUCUCCUCAUGGACUGCACCAGAUUUGCCAGUUCUUGCUGUGAGAUGUUACCCCACCCUUCCAUCAAGGCACCUGCAAGUUCCCGGACUUUCUGGGGGGAAUGGCGCUAGCCCUCAUCCUCCAAUUCAACAGGUCCCAGACGUGCUCAAUGGGAUUGAGAUCCGGGCUUUUCGCUGACCAUGGCAGAACACUGACAUCCCUUUCUUGCAGGAAAUUACGCACAGAGUGAGCAGUAUGGCUGGUGGCAUUGUCAUGCUGGAGGGUCGUGUCAGGAUGAGCCUGCAGGAAGGGUAACACAUGAGGGAGGAGGAUGUCUUCCCUGUAACACACAGCGUUGAGAUUGCCUGCAAUGACAACAAGCUCAGUCCGAUGAUGCUGUGACACAAUGCCCCAGACCAUGACGGACCCUCCACCUCCAAAUCGAUCCCGCCCCAGAGUACAGGCCUCGGUGUAACGCUCAUUUCUUCGACAAUAAACGCAAAUCCGACCAUCACCCCUGGUGAGGCAAAACAGCAACUCGUCAGUGAAGAGCCCUUUUUGCCAGGCCUGUCUGGUCUAGCGACGGUGGGUUUGUGCCCAUAGUCAACGUUGUUGCCGGUGAUGUCUGGUGAGGACCUGCCUUACAACAUGCCUACAAGCCCUCAGUCCAGGCUCUCUCAGCCUAUUGUGGACAGUCUGAGCACUGGUGGAGGGAUUGUGCGUUCCUGGUGUAACUCGGCAGUUGUUGUUGCCAUCUUGUACCUGUCCCGCAGGUGUGAUGUUCGGAUGUACCGAUCCUGUGCAGGUGUUGUUACACGUGGUCUGCCACUGCGAGGACAAUCAGCUGUCCAUCCUGUUUCCCUGUAGCACUGUCGAAGGCGUCUCACAGUACAGACAUGGCAAUUUAUUGCCCUGGCCACAUCUGCAGUCCUCAUGCCUCCUUGCAGCAUGCCUAAGGCACGUUCACGCAGAUGAGCAGGGACCCUGGGCAUCUUUUUUUGUGUGUUUUUCAGAGUCAAUAGAAAGGCCUCUUUAGUGUCCUAACUGUGACCUUAAUUGCCUGUAAGCUGUUAGUGUCAUAACGACCGUUCCACAGGUGCAUGUUCAUUCAUUGUUUAUGGUUCAUUGAACAAGCAUGGGAAACAGUGUUUAAACCUUUUACAAUGAAGAUCAGUGAAGUUAUUUAGAUUUUUACGAAUUAUCUUUGAAAGACGGGGUCCUGAAAAAGGGACAUUUCUAUUUUUGAUGAGUUUAUUUACCCGACACAUUAUGAUUGUUGGUGUCAAUUGAAUCAGUCGGAAGCUGGGAGCAGAGGUCUCUUCUCCAUGCUUCAGAGGAGAGUCAGCAGCCCCAGAAGACACCAGGACUCUGUCCAACUGAU
This is a long non-coding RNA of Oncorhynchus nerka (sockeye salmon), 1790 nucleotides long. RefSeq lists it as uncharacterized. Lineage: Eukaryota; Metazoa; Chordata; Actinopteri; Salmoniformes; Salmonidae. The transcript is spliced from 3 exons. The record is from RefSeq and is a predicted model, not a curated record.